GCCCCUAUAGCUCAAUUGGCAGAGCAUCUGACUCUUAAUCAGAGGGUCCUAGGUUCAAGUCCUAGUGGGGGCA
Molecule: transfer RNA, 73 nt
Filed under: Planctomycetota bacterium
Lineage: Bacteria; Pseudomonadati; Planctomycetota
Description: Planctomycetes bacterium (marine metagenome) tRNA-Lys
Rfam family: tRNA
About the family: Transfer RNA (tRNA) molecules are approximately 80 nucleotides in length.
Source: RNAcentral